AAGUUUAAUUUUGGACCAACUUGAAAACUGGGCCCAUAAUAAACUAGAGGCUCUAAAGAGCCUGUGUCGCUCACCUUGGUCUAUGUGAAUAUUAAACAAUGGACACAGAUGGAUUCAUGACAAAAUUGUGUUUUGGUGAUGGUGAUGUGUUUGUAGAUCUUACUUUACUAAACAUUCUUGCUGCUUACAAUUAUCUCUAUCUAUAACAGUACUUUCUGUGGAAAAUGUUAUUGAAAAUCUUCAAAUUUUAAGAAAAUUGUUAAAAAUUGACUAUGAAGGGCAAUAACUCCUAAAGUGGUCAACUGACCAUUUUGGUCAUGUUAACUUAUUUGUAGAUCUUACUUUGCUGAACAUUAUUGCUGUUUACAGUUUAUCUCUAUCUAUAAUAAUAUUCAAGAUAAUAACCAAAAACAGCAAAAUUUCCUUAAAAUUACCAUUUCAGGGGCAGCAACCCAACAACGGAAUGUCCGAUUCAUCUGAAAAUUUCAGGGCAGCUAGAUCUUGACCUGAUCAACAAUUUUACCACUGUCAGAUUUGCUCUAAAUGCUUUGGUUUUUGAGUUAUAAGCCAAAAACUGCAUUUUACCCCUAUGUUCUAUUUUUAGCCAUGGCGGCCAUCUUGGUUGGUUGGGCGGGGCACCAGACACAUUUUUUAAACUAGAUACCCCAAUGAUGAUUAUGGCCAAGUUAGGUUAAAUUUGGCCUAGUAGUUUCAGAGGAGAAGAUUUUUCUAAAAGAUUACUAAGAUUUACGAAAAAUGGUUAAAAAUUGACUAUAAAGGGCAACAACUCCUAAAGUGGUCAACUGACCAUUUUGGUCAUGUUGACUUAUUUGUAGAUCUUACUUUGCUGAACAUUAUUGCUGU
RNAcentral lists this long non-coding RNA (864 nucleotides) under Mytilus galloprovincialis (Mediterranean mussel). Lineage: Eukaryota; Metazoa; Mollusca; Bivalvia; Mytilida; Mytilidae. The record is from RNAcentral.